RNAcentral lists this ribosomal RNA (603 nucleotides) under uncultured fungus. RNAcentral's name for it is "eukaryotic LSU rRNA". It matches the Rfam family "Eukaryotic large subunit ribosomal RNA", at positions 23 to 641 of the family's 3401-position model. The record is from RNAcentral. Lineage: Eukaryota; Fungi.
ACCCGCUGAACUUAAGCAUAUCAAUAAGCGGAGGAAAAGAAACCAACAGGGAUUGCCCUAGUAACGGCGAGUGAAGCGGCAACAGCUCAAAUUUGAAAUCUGGCUCUUUUAGGGUCCGAGUUGUAAUUUGCAGAGGGCGCUUUGGCAUUGGCAGCGGUCCAAGUUCUUUGGAACAGGACGUCACAGAGGGUGAGAAUCCCGUACGUGGUCGCUAGCCUUUACCGUGUAAAGCCCCUUCGACGAGUCGAGUUGUUUGGGAAUGCAGCUCUAAAUGGGAGGUAAAUUUCUUCUAAAGCUAAAUACUGGCCAGAGACCGAUAGCGCACAAGUAGAGUGAUCGAAAGAUGAAAAGCACUUUGGAAAGAGAGUUAAAAAGCACGUGAAAUUGUUGAAAGGGAAGCGCUUGCAGCCAGACUUGCCUGUAGUUGCUCAUCCGGGUUUCUACCCGGUGCACUCUUCUAUAGGCAGGCCAGCAUCAGUUUGGGCGGUUGGAUAAAGGUCUCUGUCAUGUACCUCUCUUCGGGGAGAACUUAUAGGGGAGACGACAUGCAACCAGCCUGGACUGAGGUCCGCGCAUCUGCUAGGAUGCUGGCGUAAUGGCUGU